CCUACGGGAGGCAGCAGUGAGGAAUAUUGGUCAAUGGGCGCGAGCCUGAACCAGCCAAGUCGCGUGAGGGAAGACGGUCCUAUGGAUUGUAAACCUCUUUUGUCGGGGAGCAAAAGACGCCACGCGUGGCGUUCCGCGCGUACCCGAAGAACAAGCAUCGGCUAACUCCGUGCCAGCAGCCGCGGUAAUACGGAGGAUGCGAGCGUUAUCCGGAUUUAUUGGGUUUAAAGGGUGCGCAGGCGGAAGAUCAAGUCAGCGGUAAAAUUGAGAGGCUCAACCUCUUCGAGCCGUUGAAACUGGUUUUCUUGAGUGAGCGAGAAGUAGGCGGAAUGCGUGGUGUAGCGGUGAAAUGCAUAGAUAUCACGCAGAACUCCGAUUGCGAAGGCAGCAUACCGGCGCGCAACUGACGCUCAUGCACGAAAGUGUGGGUAUCGAACAGGAUUAGAUACCCGAGUAGUC
Molecule: ribosomal RNA, 459 nt
Filed under: uncultured bacterium
Lineage: Bacteria
Description: partial 16S ribosomal RNA
Rfam family: Bacterial small subunit ribosomal RNA
Source: RNAcentral